Long non-coding RNA from Rhagoletis pomonella (apple maggot), 1861 nucleotides. RefSeq lists it as uncharacterized. The record is from RefSeq and is a predicted model, not a curated record. The transcript is spliced from 3 exons. NCBI's taxonomy places the organism in Eukaryota, Metazoa, Arthropoda, Insecta, Diptera, Tephritidae.
GUAGUCACGUUGCAAUCUGCAUAGUAGUCGUAGCUUACGCUAAAUACGCUGUCCACCUUCGUGUCGAGAACACGUUUUGGCAGUGAACCAAUGUCGAGCAGGCAGUAGGACGCGUUGGAAGCUUAUGGAAUAGUUGGUGCAUUCGCACUUAAUUUCGCAUUCAACGCAAGAACAAUAAUUUAACUGAAAUUUAUAAAUGCAUUCGAAAACCAGUUGAAGCCAAUAAAACUAAAUAAAAAAGCAGUUGUGAGCAAGUUAUUACUGUAGCAGCUAGUUGUUGUUAUUGUUGCUGAAUUGCUGUUGCUACUUCGCAAGAAUCUUUGGAACUUGAUGGUCUGCCUGGCUAGCUAAACAACUUUAGUCAACGUGUAAAAGCGGCCGCGGUCGCAACGGUUUAGAGCAGCAAGCGAACGUUUUUUUUUUCGAAUUACCAAUAUUGCCAAUAGUGCGAAACAAGCGACAACAGCAUUAGCGUUUUUUAAACAAAAUAAAUUCAGAAACGAACAACAAAUCUUCGGCAGCGCCGCGCAACUUAUAUAGGUCCGAUUCAUCCAACAGCGUUACACGAGAAUCCUUAAGAAGAUAUUCGAAUGAAUAUUUUAAAAUCAAUCGCCCAAAAUUUGCGCAUUCAACGCGAAUAAAUUAACGCAUGCAAAAAUUUACAAACCAAAUACGAUUUCACAAGCAACAAAAAAUCUCACAGUGUAGAAUUAGAUUCUCAGCAUUAAUCGUGAAUACCUAACGUUGAGGAACCUUUAGUAGAUAGAAGGUGGAACUGGUUAACUUCACAGAAGUGCGGAAGAAGUCCACAAACCAACGCUUACAACUACAAACUCAAGGUAACUGAUUUGUUUUUCUUUUCAAGGAUGUGCUUUUACAAGUUUUAAGUAUAUAAAUUAAAUUAUAAAAGGCGCUCCAUGCGCAUGAAAUUUCGCGACGGCCACCUUUCUUCCUCUUGCCGGGAGCAAUCGUCAGUGCGCUAGACAGGUUCGCGCUUCGAAAUGAUUAGCUUCAUUUACCGCAUGCUCUUUAACAGAAUUGUUGAGGAAGAGUGGCAUCCAUCUAGAAAAGGAUAAGCAGGUCGCCGCCUCUUCUCUGUAGUCUGUUUAUAAGCAAAGUGCGAGAGUAGCUGGAGAGGCGUAACCGUGACGCACUCAAAAUGAGUGAUAGGUUUCCUCUACACUAUAAUCUGAUCCAAAUUUCCUUCUGAUGGCUAAGUGGACUCGCUUUAAAUGUUAGUAAGAUAAGCUCGCUAGAAAAAUCAUUCAAGAUAAUCGUUCUUCAUAGGACUCUUCUCUAAAUUAUAGCAGUUCGCCUUGCGAUUUAUAAUACAGUAAAGUACUUUAGCUUGGGAAACUCUUAUGUAAGCCCGAAAAGAGGACAAUUGCCUUAUAUGUAUUGCAACAGAGGCUCUACCUCUCUCUUUUACUCAAUGAUACCGCAGCUCAUUCUUUAGUGUUCUAUGGAAUAUCCUACUGAUGAAAUGGGGUAAAUGGGUAUGGGCUUAUAGGUGGCGCCACUUGGGAAGGUAGGACCAGUUCGCUGGUUGGCGGUAUGAUCUUGAGACAACUCUUCUGUUAAUUCACCAUCAAUCUCAAAGUUAGGAUUUAAAUUGCACUGCAGUGUUAACCAGGAAGAGGUAGCUGCUAUGUAUUUAAAUUGAUUAGUUGGCUGCUCAACCGUCUGACGUUCAUAAACGCGGUAACACCUAUCCUGAUAGACAACCGGUAAUCUGACCUUGGUACAUUCAAGGGGUUCCCUGAUUUUCCAUUCGGUUGCGUGUGAUUAUUUCCACCUUAGACUUAUAUGGUAACGAGAACAUAAUGAUGUUCCCGGAAAUUGUAGGGCAGUUGAGUUAGCU